AUGGCAUCAUUAGCCAACCUCUUAGCAUCGCUUCUCUUGAUUGCAAUCUUCUCUCCUACACCCAUACUAUGCUAUCUUAAUCAAGCUUCUGUAAGGGUACAACAGGGUGCUACCAACACCUCUGCCUACCACACUUACAUCGUGCUCGUUGAGCCACCACCCUUUAAUGCCGAUGAAGACAUGUACCAUCAUUGGUAUGAGUCUUUUUUGCCCAGUUCGCGUGAUGGCGACUUGGGCAAGGCACGUCUUGUGCACUCUUACACCAAGGUGUUUAGCGGCUUCGCCACAAUGCUCACUGAUGGGGAGCUUGAUGUAGUUGCCAAGAAACCGGGGUUCGUGUGGGCAUUCAAGGAGAAAACACGGUACCUCAUGACCACGCGCACACCAAAGUUCCUUGGGUUGAGGAACGGCACCGGGUUCUGGAGGGACGCUAGCUACGGGAAGGGGGUCAUUGUUGGCUUGCUCGAUACCGGCAUCUAA
This 480-nucleotide ribosomal RNA is filed under the name Triticum aestivum (bread wheat). Its description in RNAcentral is "partial small subunit ribosomal RNA". Lineage: Eukaryota; Viridiplantae; Streptophyta; Magnoliopsida; Poales; Poaceae. The record is from RNAcentral.